GACGAAGGGGGCAAGCGUUGUUCGGAAUUACUGGGCGUAAAGCGCGUGUAGGCGGCUAAGUAAGUCGGGCGUGAAAUCCCACGGCUCAACCGUGGAAGUGCACUCGAAACUGCAUAGCUAGAGUCCUGGAGAGGAAGGUGGAAUGCUUGGUGUAGAGGUGAAAUUCGUAGAUAUCAAGCGGAACACCGGUGGCGAAGGCGGCCUUCUGGACAGUGACUGACGCUGAGACGCGAAAGCCAGGGGAGCAAACGGG
This 253-nucleotide ribosomal RNA is filed under the name uncultured bacterium. Its description in RNAcentral is "partial 16S ribosomal RNA". It matches the Rfam family "Bacterial small subunit ribosomal RNA", at positions 524 to 776 of the family's 1533-position model. The record is from RNAcentral.